RNAcentral lists this long non-coding RNA (543 nucleotides) under Mytilus galloprovincialis (Mediterranean mussel). Lineage: Eukaryota; Metazoa; Mollusca; Bivalvia; Mytilida; Mytilidae. The record is from RNAcentral.
AAGACAUAGAAUGAUUAUUUUUUUAAAAAAUAAAGAGUUAAUAAAACAAAAACAGAAAGAAAGUCCAUAUAAAUACAUGUGGGUGGAUGAAAACCAUACACUCAUUUGCAGCAUCCAAAAUAGUUAAGAAUAUGAUAGAACAAUCAAAUAUUUACAAACACUUGUUAAAUCGAGUGAACAUUCAUCUCAAAGUUCGAUCAUAAAAAGGCAAAACAAAAUACACGAAAUGAAUUUAACACUUAUCUAACUUGGAAAGCGCUUCAAAACUUUUUAAAUAAACAAGUCGUGCUUCAUGCAUAUCUACUUCACAUUGCUACAAAUUACGCAAAAAAAUCCGUAAAAAAAGAAGUACCAAAUUCCGAGAAAAAUUCAAAAUACAAAAAAAGCAUACCGAUGUCAAUAACUUAUUACAGAUAUAACCUGAAGAACCAAAAAAAUAAUAAAAAAAUCCGAAUGCGAUCGUAGUCUUUUAAAGCAGAAGAUCUCAGUUAAGGGACACAUUACUCUUAAAUCACUGAGACUAACUUCUUAGUAAGCAAGGUC